AAUUUUGGACAGUGGGGGAAACCCUGAUCCAGCCAUCCCGCGCGUAUGAUGAAGGCCUUCGGGUUGUCAAGUACUUUUGGCAGUGCAGAAAAGGUAUCUCCUAAUACGAGAUACUGCUGACGGUAUCUGCAGACUAAGCACCGGCUUACUAUGUGCCAGCAGCCGCGGUAAUACGUAGGGUGCAAGCGUUAAUUGGAAUUACUGGUCGUAAAGCGUGUGUAGGCGGUUCGGAAAGAAAGAUGUGAAAUCCCAGGGCUCAACCUUGGAACUGCAUUUUUAACUGCCGAGCUAGAGUAUGUCAGAGGGGGGUAGAAUUCCACGUGUAGCAGUGAAAUGCGUAGAUAUGUGGAGGAAUACCGAUGGCGAAGGCAGCCCCCUGGGAUAAUACUGACGCUCAGACACGAAAGCGUGGGGAGCAAACA
Molecule: ribosomal RNA, 422 nt
Filed under: uncultured bacterium
Lineage: Bacteria
Description: partial 16S ribosomal RNA
Rfam family: Bacterial small subunit ribosomal RNA
Source: RNAcentral